CAGUCUUGUUAUAAUGGCAAAGAUUUGGGAAAAGGGGAGCUGGCAACAGCCUUCGCAUUUUGAUGAGCUCGCGUCUGAUUAGUUAGUUGGUAAGGUAAUGGCUUACCAAGACGAAGAUCAGUAGCUGGUCUGAGAGGAUGAUCAGCCACACUGGAACUGAAACACGGUCCAGACUCCUACGGGAGGCUGCAGUGGGGAAUCUUGCGCAAUGGACGAAAGUCUGACGCAGCCACGCCGCGUGAGUGAAGAAGGCCUUCGGGUUGUAAAGCUCUGUCGGAGGGGACAAAACGUUUAGGGUUAAUAGCCCUAGAUCUUGAUGGUACCCUUAAAGGAAGCACCGGCUAACUCCGUG
This 352-nucleotide ribosomal RNA is filed under the name uncultured bacterium. RNAcentral's name for it is "bacterial SSU rRNA". It matches the Rfam family "Bacterial small subunit ribosomal RNA", at positions 155 to 507 of the family's 1533-position model. The record is from RNAcentral.